This 669-nucleotide ribosomal RNA is filed under the name Limonomyces roseipellis. RNAcentral describes it as "mitochondrial SSU rRNA". It matches the Rfam family "Bacterial small subunit ribosomal RNA", at positions 349 to 962 of the family's 1533-position model. The record is from RNAcentral. Lineage: Eukaryota; Fungi; Basidiomycota; Agaricomycetes; Corticiales; Corticiaceae.
CAGCAGUCAAGAAUAUUAGUCAAUGCUCGUCAGAGUGAACUAGCUAACUGAAAUCACAGACAUGUCAAAAUUGGCAUAGUAGGUGAUAACAUAAGGGAAAAUAAUGAUGAUACCUUAUUAUUAGUGCUGUCCAAAACUCGUGCCAGAAGACUCGGUAAGGCGAGAGGCGCAAACGUUAGUCGUCUUAAUCAGGCGUAAAGGGUUCGUAGGCAGCUUAGAACAUCAAUUUUUUUAUUUAUAUUAGUACAAAGUAAAAUCAAAGUUAUUCAUCGAUGAUUGGUAGUGCUUUCAUCAAUAGAUAUAAUUUUGUUUAAACUAAAGAAAAAAUUAGAUUAUUAAAAGCUAGGAUCUUGUUGGGGUUAUAUCAAAUAAUACUUAAGGAAGAGCUGGGAUGUAUAGAUCUUAUGGGGAAUACUAAGGCGAAGGCUAUUUUUCCACUAAGGAUCGACGCUGAGGAACGAAGGGGAGAACAGGAAAAAGGAUUAGAUACCCAAGUACCUCUCCCUGUCAACGAUGAAUGGUGAAUUUUUAGGAUUUUAAUAUAACUAGUGUGUAUGCUAACGCGAUAACCAUUCCGCCUUGUGAGUACGGUUGCAAAACUGAAAACAAAAAAAUUAGUCGGUCUCGAAGCAAACGAAGUGAAGCAUGUUAUUUAAUUCGAUAAUCCGC